AAAAGAGUGAAACACCACAUGUAACUAACAGUUAAACUGUAAGUCUAUGUCGUUGUUUUUUGUUUGAAUUGUUUACGUGUUCGCUGUGCGUGGGAAAUGAUAAGACAAGCGGAACUACGUAGCUAAUAACUGUUGUAACGGGGAUCCUUAUUGUAGCAACACACUUUUGGAGCGAAGGCAAUCCCGCGCUGUGUUAGCAAAAUUUUCAUGUCAUCGGGUGGGUGAAAUUCGUAAAGGUUGAAGUGUGUAUGUUAGGAUGGUAACAUUAUAAUAAUUAAGGAUGAAGUGUGAAUUCAUGCCAGGAAUAAUAAGGGUGAAGUUUGAUUUCCUCCCUUCUGUAAUAAGCAGCCAAUUAGUUAUUUUUCCUUUAUUCAUGUGUUUAAUCUGAUACUGUUAUAGCGCCGGCUAAACUGUUUAUGUAUGUAAGCACUUCAGAGUUAUACCAAGCUAAUAAGUCACUCGUAAGAUACGUUUGUAAGAGUGUGCUUAACUGUAUUUUAAUUUACUUUAGUUCUCACGGAAGGUGAUAAUUCUGACUAAAUCUACAUAAUAAAGCCGCUAGUUAAAAUCAAGGAACGGUUGUGCUCUUGGUUACUGGAGGGAGCAACACCACAACAGGAAUAAGGAUUAUGGAAAGUGUAAAAUUUCGUGGAACUGUGCCAAUUCAGAUGCCUUGCUUUAGCCAUAUCACUCAUACUGUUUCUCGUUUAGUCCAUCCAUAAAAGCAGAUCAGCUUUUGUUGCAUCCAGGAACUUGUAUAAUGUGCUUAUGUUAUGCUUAUAUGUUUGUGGGACCGUCAUUGGUGUCCCCCAGCCCAUCCCCUUUGUUGUGUGCCAAGCAUUCUUGUCAUUCUUUUAAGUCUCAAUCAUUCUUUUUGAUAUUUGUCUUCCUUUACAAAGGCACUGCAGAGGCUAAGAAGACGCAUGGAAACUCUAAAAGAAACGUAAUUCAACUUGUAAACCAGAUUUCAAAAGGAAAUAAUGAAUCCCGAAGCUCAGAUGUCAGACACCGAGGCUGCCAGUACCUCUGGGUCGAUAGUCCAUGUGUUGGAUGAUGCACCGCCGUUGAUCAGAACAGACAGCGUAUAUCCACACAGGUCGCACCAACCACUCCCCUUUACUGACCAGUAGGAGAGCCAUGCAGGCGGGCGAGAAGUGCCCCUUUGAAAUCCUCUUGACCCCCUUGGUCCCACUGGCAGAACAGCCUCCUAUCAAGCAG
This is a long non-coding RNA of Oncorhynchus tshawytscha (Chinook salmon), 1218 nucleotides long. The record is from Ensembl. NCBI's taxonomy places the organism in Eukaryota, Metazoa, Chordata, Actinopteri, Salmoniformes, Salmonidae.